RNAcentral lists this ribosomal RNA (478 nucleotides) under uncultured bacterium. RNAcentral describes it as "partial 16S ribosomal RNA". It matches the Rfam family "Bacterial small subunit ribosomal RNA", at positions 28 to 507 of the family's 1533-position model. The record is from RNAcentral.
GAUGAACGCUGGCGGCGUGCUUAACACAUGCAAGUCGAACGGGAAACCUUUUAUUGAAGCUUCGGCAGAUUUAGCUGGUUUCUAGUGGCGGCCGGGUGAGUAACGCGUGGGUAACCUGCCUUAUACAGGGGGAUAACAGUCAGAAAUGGCUGCUAAUACCGCAUAAGCGCACAGAGCUGCAUGGCUCAGUGUGAAAAACUCCGGUGGUAUAAGAUGGACCCGCGUUGGAUUAGCUGGUUGGUGGGGUAACGGCCCACCAAGGCGACGAUCCAUAGCCGGCCUGAGAGGGUGAACGGCCACAUUGGGACUGAGACACGGCCCAGACUCCUACGGGAGGCAGCAGUGGGGAAUAUUGCACAAUGGGGGAAACCCUGAUGCAGCGACGCCGCGUGAAGGAAGAAGUAUCUCGGUAUGUAAACUUCUAUCAGCAGGGAAGAUAAUGACGGUACCUGACUAAGAAGCCCCGGCUAACUACGUG